RNAcentral lists this ribosomal RNA (253 nucleotides) under uncultured bacterium. Its description in RNAcentral is "partial 16S ribosomal RNA". It matches the Rfam family "Bacterial small subunit ribosomal RNA", at positions 524 to 776 of the family's 1533-position model. The record is from RNAcentral.
UACGUAGGGGGCUAGCGUUGUCCGGAAUUAUUGGGCGUAAAGAGCGUGUAGGCGGUUUGGUAGGUCCGCUGUGAAAACUCGAGGCUCAACCUCGAGACGCCGGUGGAAACCAUCAGACUAGAGUCCGGAAGAGGAGAGUGGAAUUCCUGGUGUAGCGGUGAAAUGCGCAGAUAUCAGGAAGAACACCCGUGGCUAAGGCGGCUCUCUAGUACGGUACUGACGCUGAGACGCGAAAGCGUGGGGAGCGAACAGG